Molecule: ribosomal RNA, 496 nt
Filed under: uncultured archaeon
Lineage: Archaea
Description: bacterial SSU rRNA
Rfam family: Archaeal small subunit ribosomal RNA
Source: RNAcentral
GUGGUUUCUGCUAAGAGAACCUUUUGACAGUCCUAUAAACACUGUUGAAUAAGGGGUGGGCAAGUUCUGGUGUCAGCCGCCGCGGUAAAACCAGCACCUCAAGUGGUCAGGAUGAUUAUUGGGCCUAAAGCAUCCGUAGCCGGCUCUGUAAGUUUUCGGUUAAAUCUGUACGCUCAACGUACAGGCUGCCGGGAAUACUGCAGAGCUAGGGAGUGGGAGAGGUAGACGGUACUCGGUAGGAAGGGGUAAAAUCCUUUGAUCUAUUGAUGACCACCUGUGGCGAAGGCGGUCUACCAGAACACGUCCGACGGUGAGGGAUGAAAGCUGGGGGAGCAAACCGGAUUAGAUACCCGGGUAGUCCCAGCUGUAAACCAUGCAAACUCAGUGAUGCAUUGGCUUGUGGCCAAUGCAGUGCUGCAGGGAAGCCGUUAAGUUUGCCGCCUGGGAAGUACGUACGCAAGUAUGAAACUUAAAGGAAUUGGCGGGGGGGAGCACA